CCCCCGUCACCUGCCCGCGCAGGCGCACCUGGCGAGGCGGGCCGGAUCCAGGAGAGAGCAGACGCAGCCUCGGUGCAUGUUUUUAUCAGCGGCGUUGAGGGACAACUGAUGCGCCUGCUGGAUGAGCAUCUCCAAUGCAGCUAUGGAUGAAGACCAAAGCUGAGAGCUACUUGGAUUGGAUGGCACUUAUAUUUAUUGAAUGAUUAAGUAGAUCAAUAAAUGCAACCCACUUUUAACAGAUUCAUUAUGACCUCAUGCCAGCCAAUCAAUAUAUCUUUGGAAAUGAAAUAACACUUCAUUAAUAUAGACAGGACUCAACACAAAGUCGAGGUUCUACAGAACAGCUGAAAACAUUGGAGGAGCCUUUGAAGUUGAAGCAAAGACAGGAGCAAGAGUGCUACUUACAAAGGAACCUUCAUCCAUGGCUUGCUUGGUGUUACAUAUGAACCAAGACUGCUACAAUUUCUGGAUUUCUUCUCCAUUGCCAGGAUCUAUUCCCAGCUUCAGGUUCUACUUAAGAAAGCAAAUUGGAAGUUGUCAUGUUUGGCUAGCACCACUGAGGUACAGAUGAAGCUCCUGGAUUGGAUGGAAACAGUAUUCCAGGAAGAUGGAUUUGGAUCUGAUCAGCUGGUUUGCAACCAAGGUGCUCAUGUACUAUCAGCAUUUGAGAAGUGAUUCAGAAACAUAUUUAAACAUACAGACUUUGGAUCAAGGUCUUGAACUCCGGACAGGAAAAGAAGUGGAAAAGAAAGGAAGGAAGCAACCAUGUUGACAGGAGCAUCUCCAGAAGCUACGAGCGUCUUUCCAGAGAUCACAAAAAUGGUCAACAGUAGUGCUUGGGGAAGUGUUUGUGCCUGAUCAGGAUGACUGGGACAAUAAAACAUUUGCCUUGGAAGGAAAAAUGUACAAAUAAGGGCUAUAUUGGCGUCAACUGGAGUAAUGGAUAAUAUUUAUGUGUCUGUAAUUGUUUUUUUUUCUUUACCUUUUCUUGUUUGUGUUAUAUGUACAAAGAUGGAAUUGUGGUUGGGGUUUGGAGAUGGCUAUUUCUUUUUUAAACUUGUAUUUUGCAUUUAUUUCAUGCUGUAGGCUUAACAAUCGGUUGUAUUUCACAGUAGUAGCCAUUUUUUGCCACUGUGUUUAAAUUUCAAUUUCCUCCCUUUCAAAGACGCGAGACAGGAGUGAUGUAGCAAAAUAGGUAUACAGAGCGUUCUCAUUUGGCACAACUGUUAUAGAACCUCCUGUGAGUCCUCCAUGAGGCAGGGAUGUUGAAUUCACAUCCUUAAAUUCCUCUGCAUUGUCAGUUAAGACAAAGUAUAUGCUCAAGUAUUUAAGGGGGUGUUUUCUGACAAGCAUUUUGCUCAAGAAUCUAUGCUGUCUGUCAACUGGGGAGAUGUUUUUCUGUGGAAAUUCCUUGAUUUACUGUCUGCUUUUAAUCAAGCAAUAUUCCAGACCAGUUUUUUUUUUAAAUUUUACCCCAUCCAUACACAUACCAACUGCCCCCCCCAAAACACCACUUUUGAAUCAGUUUAGGACAGAGGUGCACAAGUUAAACCUCUAGCCACCAUUUGCCACCCAAAAAGCUUUGCUGAGAUCCAGCGACUUCCAAAUAUUUUUUAAUAGUUAUCAUCUUUAGUUGUACACUGGGGGGAAAACUAUUAGAUACAUGACUGGAGAAUCAUCAAAUUAACUCUACAUUUUAAUGAAAUGUAGUUGAGCUGAAAUUAAAUUCAGUUUUUGUGCAGGCCUUGCUCACUACAUUUUGAGGUCAUGCUAUUUAAAAGUUGAAAUGUGGACCUCGGCUUAAUAAAAAUUAGGUAUCCUGAUUUUAGGGAGUUGCACUUCUUUCCUGAUGUUUACAAGGUGGUCUUCAGCCUUUUUCCCCAGUGUGAAAGUCUGUUUUUUCAGAAAAGGACCCCAACUGUUUACAUUAAAAGUAGGAGAGGUCAUUGCAACUCAUUGUCCCUAGUAGAGAUUUUAUUGAGAUACGCUGAACAUCAGCCGGGUAUCCGGAUGGUGCACGCAAUAACACUUAACACCAUAAAAUGUACAAAUGUAAUAAGCUCUCAAACAUCAUGGUAUAGUUGAUAUGUAUAAGAAGCAAAGACUGUUUUUAUUUUCAGAUGCAAUUUCCUCUCUUUUAUCUUUGAUGGCUCAUUUUGGAUGCCUGUGUUAUGCUUCAUGUUAUGGACCAGAUUGCUGGCAGGCAAAGCAGAUUCCCGAGAAGUAGCUAUGCAUGACUUCUGCUUGUCACACCUGGAACUGAGAAUAUGUUCUCCCUCAGGUGCAUUACCACAUUUUCAAAUGUGGUCCAAAGCACUGCACAUCUGAAGUUUACCCACUGAUGGCAUUCAUCACCCUCUUUGGAACACUGGAUCUGCCCCCUGCAAAAUUUCUUCCCUUGCUAUAGAACAGAGUUUCUUAAACUUUUUUUUCCCUCAGGACCCCUUCCCACUUUUAAAAAUUAUGGAGGCCCCAAAGAGCUUUUCUUGGUAUGGGUUCUAUUUAUCUA
This is a non-coding RNA of Python bivittatus (Burmese python), 2509 nucleotides long. The record is from RefSeq and is a predicted model, not a curated record. NCBI's taxonomy places the organism in Eukaryota, Metazoa, Chordata, Lepidosauria, Squamata, Pythonidae.